This 356-nucleotide unclassified non-coding RNA is filed under the name Hevea brasiliensis (rubber tree). The record is from RNAcentral. Lineage: Eukaryota; Viridiplantae; Streptophyta; Magnoliopsida; Malpighiales; Euphorbiaceae.
UGGAGUACCUAGCAUAGCACUUAGCCAAGAACAUGUCACCGUAAACCCCCGUGCCGCAAUCAGUUUUCAGCCGGCUGAUGGCCUCCGACAAGCAAUCCUGACACUGUCCUAAACUCAAAUCCCCAACACAUUGGGCCAAACCCUGGACCUCGCCUGACCCACCAGCUCGAUGAGGCCCACCAGCCCGAGCCAGGCCGGCCAUCACCGCAUCCCUAACACUCAUAGCAUCCGUAUCAUAACCAAUGGAUGGCCCACAUUUCUUCAAGACCACAGUCUUAUCCUCCACUCCUAAAAACGUAGUAUUGUCGUACUUAACAUAACAUCCUUGAAGCUGCACUGCUCCACCGCAUGUCUGA